RNAcentral lists this unclassified non-coding RNA (929 nucleotides) under Bradyrhizobium elkanii. Its description in RNAcentral is "partial contains 16S ribosomal RNA, 16S-23S ribosomal RNA intergenic spacer, and 23S ribosomal RNA". The stretch from base 234 to 307 matches the Rfam family "tRNA". The record is from RNAcentral. Lineage: Bacteria; Pseudomonadati; Pseudomonadota; Alphaproteobacteria; Hyphomicrobiales; Nitrobacteraceae.
UUGCGGCUGGAUCACCUCCUUUCUAAGGAUGAUCCUUCAGAUCAGCUCACGCUAUCUAUCGGAUCGUUUUAGAAACAUUCAGGGGCCAACAGUUUCAGGAUUGUUGAGCUCCAUUGGCGGGAUUUCGCCGUCUUCGUUUCUCUUUCUUCGCGGACGAAUACGCGCCAGGGGCUGAGCGCUGUGCGGUGCACCGACUAAGCGUCGCGUGCGCGCCGGCAUGUCUCUCGUGUUAGGGGCUUGUAGCUCAGUUGGUUAGAGCGCGCGCUUGAUAAGCGUGAGGUCGGAAGUUCAAGUCUUCCCAGGCCCACCAUUUUGAUCGAGUGCGGAGCAUUCGUCUUCUGGUACGGGGCCAUAGCUCAGCUGGGAGAGCGCGUGCUUUGCAAGCAUGAGGUCGUCGGUUCGAUCCCGUCUGGCUCCACCAGAUGGUUUGRUCACCAACGGCGUUACCGUCGUCCGCGAAACAUCACUUCGCACUCAUUGGUCCGGAUGGACGGUGACGUGCGUGUUUUCUGACAUCGUAAAGAGGAGAUCGAUCCGAGUUUGGAUCAAGCGAAGCAAUUCGUCUGAACCAUUCAUUAUCUCCGGGAUCAUUUCGGCGCUCGCGCAUCGCAGUUCAUCGCAAGAUGAGUGGGGUGAGCGGGUUGUAAAUGAUCUCUUUUAGCGAAGCUUGACCGCCUCGCUAUCGGGCCGAUCUUACGAAGCAAGCUGGUCUUUCUAGUCAAUGUCCGGCUGCGCAAUCGCAUUCAUCGAGGAUGCGUGCCUGGGACUUCGGUCUUCGGGCAGUUGCGCAGACAACAUUCUGCCGAGUGUGUGGACAUUGAUAAUGAGAGCAAUCAAGUGCCUUAAGGGUGUUCGGUGGAUGCCUUGGCGCUGAGAGGCGAUGAAGGACGUGCUACGCUGCGAUAAGCCGUGGGGAGCUGCGAAGAAGC